AAUGAACGCUGGCGGCGUGCCUAAUACAUGCAAGUCGAACGGAGUGGCGCACGGGUGUGUAAGGUAUAGCUAAUCUGCGCUACACUAGAGGACAACAGGUGGAAACGGCUGCUAAUACUCUAUAGUGUAGGAUGAGGCUAUAUGGUAUCAUCUAGUUGGUGAGGUAAUGGCGCACCAAGGCUAUGACGCCUAACUGGUCUGAGAGGAAGAUCAGUCACACUGGAAGUGAGGCACGGUCGAGAAUCCUCCGGGAGGGAGCAGAAGGGAAUAUUGCUCAAUGGGGGAAGCCCUGAAGGAGCAACGGCGCGUGGAGGAUGACACUUUUCGGAGAGUAGACUCAUUUUGUUAGGGAAGCGGUACCUAACGAAUAAGCACCGGCUAACUCCGUGCCAGCAGCCGCGGUAAUUC
RNAcentral lists this ribosomal RNA (408 nucleotides) under uncultured bacterium. RNAcentral's name for it is "partial 16S ribosomal RNA". It matches the Rfam family "Bacterial small subunit ribosomal RNA", at positions 29 to 526 of the family's 1533-position model. The record is from RNAcentral.